This is a long non-coding RNA of Prionailurus viverrinus (fishing cat), 512 nucleotides long. RefSeq lists it as uncharacterized. The transcript has 2 exons. The record is from RefSeq and is a predicted model, not a curated record. Lineage: Eukaryota; Metazoa; Chordata; Mammalia; Carnivora; Felidae.
CAACAUUCCCAGCGACGCGAGAACCCAGGACGAGGCAGUCCAGGGCCUGGCGACCUCCGUCCGGUUCAGCGUGACCGAGAGGCAACCCGGCCAAGGCUGCCUACACCGAUGGCAUGCCUUGAGCACAGGGCCAGAGGUUAUUCUUGAAUAAGAAUAUUAAUUCUUGGACUCUGAGAGACACCUCUUCGUGAGUCAUCUCUUCUCUGGGCAGACAAGACAUAUCUGAAAAACUGAUCAAAGAGGACCGUCUAUGUCAGACCACAGGAUUUUGAGUGGACAUUUUGGAAGGGAUGUUAAUGGGAAUAUUCUCACCAUUCAGGACCCUCCCCUCCCUCGCUCCCUCCCCCCAGGAAUCAACAACCCAUUUGCUCUUGGUGUUUUUCUUUGCCUUUUUUCCCUUUUAGGUUGGAAACUAAUGACCAUGCUUCAUAAACACUAAACACCUAGUAUAAACAUACAUGAAUGUUUAGUUUUCUGGUGAAACUAAUAAAAUUUAAACUAAUCAAAUUUGA